Molecule: ribosomal RNA, 253 nt
Filed under: uncultured bacterium
Lineage: Bacteria
Description: partial 16S ribosomal RNA
Rfam family: Bacterial small subunit ribosomal RNA
Source: RNAcentral
UACGUAGGGGGCAAGCGUUGUCCGGAUUCAUUGGGCGUAAAGAGCGUGUAGGCGGCCAGGUAGGUCGGUUGUGAAAACUGGAGGCUCAACCUUCAGAGGUCGACCGAAACCAUCUGGCUAGAGUCCGGGAGAGGAGAGUGGAAUUCCUGGUGUAGCGGUGAAAUGCGCAGAUAUCAGGAGGAACACCGGUGGCGAAGGCGGUUCUCUGGGCAUGUCCUGACGCUGAGGAGCGAAAGUGUGGGGAGCGAACAGG